CAAUGAUGCACCUCGCGAGGCUAUGUCGUCCCCGUAACAGAUCUUCCCGGGAGUUUCUUGGAAAUCCGGAAUGGUGUCAGCGCUGAGUGAGGGAUUGCGUACACGAGGUAAACGCGGCCCGGAACUAGCAAAAUCAGCAAAAUACUUCUGCCUGUCCUUCACACUGUAAUACUGUUUCUCUCUUUUCAUUAACGCAGCUGUUGUGCCAAAGGAACCGAAUUAAUUGAGUCUUUUCAAGGAAACGACCUUGGUCCCAAGGGUUGAAGUUGUCUUCAAGCACCCAUGUUACACAUAGGAUCGAAUCUCGAUUUACGGCAAGACUCUUCACUGCCUUGACUUCGCCUCAACCCUCGGCAGUUUACUGCAACUCAAACUAACUCGGGGCAUUCUGCCCCCUCCGGGAGAACAAAGCAAGCUGUUGUAGAAGCCUAUCAGCAUGCUUCUUCAACUGUGUGCGAGCGAUACUGGAGAGCGAUGACAUUCCCGCUGCUUGUGCUGUCGACCAUCUAAUUAGUUUUGAAAAACCCAAAGCAGAGCCCCCCACCUUGUCUGUCUGCCUCGUCCUUUACGCCACUGUAAAUUAGCCGGAUCAUCCAGGCCAGUAUUGAAUCGUCUUCUCAUACGAGUCCUAGCAGAAGCUUUCCAACCAGCCAGAAAUUGUGGUGCGAACGAGUUGGAAGCCAACAUUUUUGAGAACGUUACUUCAACUUCACCACAAGGAGAGAGAGAGAGAGAGGGCUGCAGCUGUUGGCACACCUGACUUUGAGGAUUCAACUGAUGCUGUUCAAUCUAGUUUAAUUCCCAAAAAAAGAUCACCCACGCACGGGAUCAUCGCGUACUCUUUCCAAAAGUUUGCCGAUAUGAAUGCAGUGCAUACGAAAGGAUGGUGGUUGUCACUACUCUCAUCAGAGCCAAAGAUAUAACUGGCUUCUGUAUGAUUUAUCAUGCUAGCAUUCUGUGUGUUGUAUCUCUCCAUGCCUAGGGAGUGGAGAUCUAUCUGUGUGCCGUAUGAUCAAGUUGUGAGAGAGAAGUAAUAGCCCUGCUGAGCAGUAUGAGAUUGAGUAGGAGGAUAUAGCUUACAUUACUAAAUAAUACCAAUCCUUUGUCUGAG
RNAcentral lists this small RNA (1111 nucleotides) under Histoplasma ohiense. Its description in RNAcentral is "hypothetical lncRNA". The record is from RNAcentral. Lineage: Eukaryota; Fungi; Ascomycota; Eurotiomycetes; Onygenales; Ajellomycetaceae.